Long non-coding RNA from Hippocampus zosterae (dwarf seahorse), 1142 nucleotides. RefSeq lists it as uncharacterized. NCBI's taxonomy places the organism in Eukaryota, Metazoa, Chordata, Actinopteri, Syngnathiformes, Syngnathidae. The transcript has 3 exons. The record is from RefSeq and is a predicted model, not a curated record.
GGCGAGAGAGCCUGAGUCCUAUUGCCAUCCCUGCGGAGCUCUCCUCCUUAUUUGGGCGUCCUCUUCAUCACCGACGUGUUGGUUUCAUCCCGGAAGCUGCAGCAUGAGGAAAGUCAUCAUAUAGUAAGCAUAUGCGGCGGCGGGAGAACAGGGGAGAUGAAAGUUGGAGGAAACGAAGCCCCGAGAUGAAAGGAGACCGAUAAAAGGCAAGUGAGGAUGUUGUUUUUCUCGUGCAUUGUUGGAGAGGUCCAGCAACGGAAAGGCAGAAGCCCUCUUGGAUGCUUUGUGGGCCAAAUAAAUUGACAUUUUAUGGACUUUCCCGUACUCCCCCAAGGGUUUUUCUCAAAUUCAGCCCUUGGUAGGCAUGCCUAUCAUUCGUCAACCCACGAAAAAAAGUCUCAAGAAGCCGUGCCCAAAAUGACGCAGAGAUCUACCGUAUUUUCCGCACUAUAAUGCGCAUCGGAUUAUAAGGCGCACCUUCCACGAAUUGCCUAUUUUAAAACUGUUUUCAUAGAUAGGGCGCAUUGCAUUAUAAGGCACAUACAAUAAAAGCUACAACAGAGGCUGCGGUUGCAUUAUGCAUCCACUAGAUGGAGCUACACUAACGGAAUACAAUAUAAUACAGCUUUAUUUCUAUCGAGCCUUCACAACCACUGCAGCUGUAACAAAGCGCUUUACAGAACAUUUAAAAUACUACAUCUAAUAAAUCUGAAUAUUGAUCCGUAUGUAGCAUGAAGCAUGACACAAAGUCCUUAAAAAUACAGAGUUGAUUCCUCGGCAACCUGUGACAACUGGUCACAAAGACGGACAUGAAACAUUUGAACACAAAAUGGCAUUACAAUACAUACAAUACAAUAAAUGAAAGACAAAAGUCAUGCGGAGAAUUGAUUCAACAAAAAGGCACACAACCCUUGUGGGCUCACAUCGACAAGGGGCUCCUUCGAAGUCUUGCUUGUCUCCUUCUUUCUUCGUUUAGUCAGUAGUUAACGAUGCUUUUGGUAUCAUCUUCAUUUCAUAAUGGCUGCGCAGAGCUCAGAAAAAAGUUGUCUGAGUGUGUAUUGGCGAAUCACUUGAAUGUCAAUCAGUGUCGAUCAGAACCCUUUUAGGUUAAAUUAGUUCAUGCUAAUAAUCACCACUAGAUG